AUUUAACUUCCUAUUGAUGUUGGUGAGAGAAAAUUAGCAUUCUUCUUCUCCUCGAAGCCAAGAAUUUGCAUUCUUCAAUUUUCCAUCAAAGAGCAUUUUGAAGAGCAGAAAAAACCCUUCCGGUUUGAGAAAUCGUUUUAACUGGUCACGAAACGGGUUUGUUGUUUCAACGAAAAGAAAAACGACGAGAACGAGCAGUGGUGGUGGCACCGACAGUAGUAGUUGGCGCAUUCCUGAGGUUGCAACGCUAUCUACUCUUGCGCGGGAAGGAGAAAUCGAAAGAAAAGGAGAGUUCUGACAUGCUAUUUGUCGGCGUCAUUGUUGGUGGCUGCGACGUCGCUGUUUAUGGCUUCGGCGUAGCUGUUGGUGGUUGGUGGUGGCUGGUGGAGAAACCUUGGUUCUAUGGCAGCAGUGGUCCGAAGGGGAAGAGAAGAAAACCCUAGGUCUCCUUCAUCAAAGGUAUUUAAAUAGUAAAGGUAUGAAACCAAAUUAAAAUAUCGAAGCAAACUAUAAAGCUGGAGAGAGAUUAAAUGCAAGAAUAUUAAAGAUAAAUAUAUUGACGAUUCAGAAAGUUGUGCCAUAAUAAGGGUAAACCUAGAAGACAACCUAAUAUCCUUAAGGGAAAAAAUUGGAGUCCAAUGAAAAUAUGGACGGGUUGCUUGACAAUGAUUUAUAAGGAAUGAAAAUAGUUGUAAUUUGGCAAGGUAUAAAGAAUGUCAACUUGGCUUUCUUGCUUUCUCAUUUGUUUCUUCUUCUUAAUUGGUUUUUAAUUUCUAACACGGGGAAGUAUGUUGUUCAAGGAGAAGCAGAUAAGGGCAGACGAGGAGAGAUUACUGGAGGAGUAUGUACCUAAACAACUGAUGAGUUUGAAAAUUUGAUUCAAAGCUCACCCAAGUUUUAUCUGCAUCAAUAACAUGGAUUUCAUGAAAAUUUGUUUUUUUUUUACUUCUUUAGGUUUUUUUGGAGAAGUUAUACAUAUAAUAAGUUAGUACAUUAUUGGACUUUACAGUUAUUUUAUGAGUUUAUUUUUCUGUUGGGUUUAUUGUCUUCUGAUUGUUUGUUCUAUUAAAUUUCCUUGAUGUGUUGUAUUCCAGAUAUAUUAGAAAAGUUCAUGUUUUACAUUAAAUCAGCAUUUGAGGAUUCAUGUCUGAUUUUUCCAAAAUUCAACAAGGCAACUAUAACAUCCCUAUUUUUAAUAAACUGUAUUAUUUACUUUAAAUAAAA
Molecule: long non-coding RNA, 1224 nt
Organism: Vigna unguiculata (cowpea)
Lineage: Eukaryota; Viridiplantae; Streptophyta; Magnoliopsida; Fabales; Fabaceae
Source: RefSeq, a predicted model, not a curated record